UGAUUCCUGAUUCCAAAAGCUGCAGUGAGCUCAGGGAGGAUGAGAAUAUUGAGGUGAGGAGAGCUGUUUCAUUGCUGUGCUGUAGGCGGAACCGGAUUUGAAAUGGCUUGAACAGAUUGUUAGUGAAGACGUGGGCUUUGAGUUGUGCAGCAACACAUUUCAGUAUUUCUUAAAGAAAGGGAAGAUGUGAAAUUGCUCUUGUUGUCGGGGUCAAGCCCAUGUUUUGUGUGGAUUGGGUGUACAGGAGCUUGUGUGAGUGCGUCGGGGUCGGGGACUGAACCAUAGCUGGGGGAGGAGUUAAUCAUCAUUGAGGUGAGAUAGCUGGUAGACAUUUUGUGACCAGAUUAGACGGUAUUGGAUCCAGGUGGACCACCUCGUUCCUGUUGCCAAGGUAGACCGCUCCAAAGGUGACACAGGGGAGAACUGAAAAAAGGGCUGAGGGAUGGAUGACGGGUGUGCAGAGGGGUGUGCAGGUGGAGUCGUGGCGAUCUACCAGGUAGUAGUCGAGCAAACGUGUAGUAACGGUCCAACAACGGUACAUACCCUAAGCUCAAACGAGCCUCUUAUCUGUCAAAAGCCAGGGAACGGUCAUAACUAUUCCAGACAUCCUUGGUCAUUACGUUACUUGGAUGACUUGCACUGAUUGGAGUCAGCCAGGGUUUCUUUUGAAUGAAUAAAAUAGGUGUGUCCGUUAGUAAGCAAGGAUCGCUAAAUAGCACUACCAAGUUUUCCGUUAGCUCCUGCGGUCAACUGCGUAUCCCUGGUGACCCAACGUGAUUUCUUUUUGAAUGACAGGUGAUCUGACGGCCUUGGUGUUUGACCGGUCGAUCGCGUUUGAACUAUUCGGCACCCCAGCUGUAGAGUGUGAAUUUUUGUUUAGAAAAAUGAAAGGAAAGUGUUGCAUUUGUUAUCUGUGAAGAAUGUGGAGGUAUUGUCCGUGGGUCUAAGAAGCUUGUUUAGCAUUUUAAGGAGCCAGAAUAUAUGACGUGUGAGUAGUGAGUGGACCGGGUUGAGAUGAGAGCGUCUUUGUGCCUGAGUUAGCUUCACUUCCUCCCCUGGUGUAUUUUUCCCUCCCUUGUAAUAGUCUGCCUUGUCCGUAAUUGUUCCCUCCUGUGUGCAAUCACCUACAUCUUCCCAGUUUAUUUAAGCCAUGUGUUUUCGUUUGUCCCAUUGUUGCUUCGUCUGUUAUCCUGUGUCUUUACUGUUCUUCGGUGUAACGGUUCUCCAGUGUAACUCCUCUGAUUUUUUGUUUUUUUCCCUAUUACCAUCAUCAGGGCGCAUGGUUGUUUUUCCUGGCUUUGUACUACUGACUUUUUGUCUAGUUGUAUUUUUCUCUAUUUAAAGGUUACUUUUAGUUUGAAUCAAUGGUUCUGCGCUUGAGUCCUAUUCCAGGCUAUGAAUUGUUAGAAUCUUCUUGAGAGUGGGCCUGGAGACUUUUAAACCUGUUUUCUUGCACUUACAGGAUUUCAUAUGGUGAAGUUCAGGGGGUACCAGGGAGUGUGAUCAGGGAGGAAAAGAUCUUGUUGGGAGCCAGCUCAUCAAGAAAGACACAAGCAGAGUGAGUCAUUGUUUACAAGAUUGUUGAGAUUGUCUGACUGCAGGGGAGGGGGGCGGGGGGACCAACGUGGUACUGGCAAGAAAGGCAGAAAGAUUUAUGGGGAGAUAGAGUUAAGAAUUCUGAAGGAUAUCUUGUGCUUUACUUUUUGUUGGUUAAAUAACAGUGUUUAAAAAUAAGGCUUUUAUUAUAAAAUAUCCUCUCUAUGCUAAAAAUGAUGUCGCUACACUGAGGUGUUUUACCAGCACAGGGUGACUGUAUCAGGGAGGCCUAAAGGAGUGGGGGAGUGAAGGGGAAAGGGGCCACCACCAGGUACCAGAAAGGAAAAGUCACACACACUGCAAAGCAAAAGAUGUAGCGGCUUUCCAAAUGUUCUCUGCAUCGCAACAUUGUACAGACAUGGACAGUGAGAGACAGUGUGUGAGACAGUAUGAGAGACAAUGUGUGAGACAUGAGAGUGUGUGAGACAGUAUGAGCGACAGUGUUUGAGAGGCGGUGGGAGACCGUGGGACAGUAUGUGAGACAGUCUGCGGAACAGUGGAUGCUCGGCUGCAGCGUGCGGUGUUCAUCACGUGACGUUUCUACUCGGGAAAGUCUUAGAGAGAGAGAGAGAGAGAGAAUUUACUGCUCUACAAAUUAGACAAGUUCACCAGUUUAAUGAAAUAUUGAAAUGAAAUGUAGGUCUUAAAUUAAGCUACAUGACGGUCUGGUGAGGUAUAUUGUAGUAUAUUAUUAGUGUAAUGCUGCUUAUGCUUCAAUUCUGUCAGAAAACAGUACAAAAAAUGUGUGUAUUGUCAGCUUUUGAUUAUUAUGCACAACUUUGAUGUAUCUCAUUUACAAAAUGCCAAGGGAGACUCCACAAACAGAAGGACAGGGAAUAUAUCCUACUGUGUUUAUUUAUUUUAUUAUUCAUAUUUUUUAUUUCCUGAAUCAUUUUGGUUUGAGCACCUGCCCGCCAAAAUGUCUGUGCACGUGCCUGG
Long non-coding RNA from Gasterosteus aculeatus aculeatus (three-spined stickleback), 2535 nucleotides. NCBI's taxonomy places the organism in Eukaryota, Metazoa, Chordata, Actinopteri, Perciformes, Gasterosteidae. The record is from Ensembl.